Molecule: ribosomal RNA, 468 nt
Filed under: uncultured bacterium
Lineage: Bacteria
Description: partial 16S ribosomal RNA
Rfam family: Bacterial small subunit ribosomal RNA
Source: RNAcentral
GACGAACGCUGGCGGCGUGCUUAACACAUGCAAGUCGAACGGAAAGGCCCUGCGUUUGUGGGGUGCUCGAGUGGCGAGCGGGUGAGUAACACAUGAGUAACCUGCCCUUGUCUUUCGGAUAACUUCAGGGAACUGGGGCUAAUACAGGAGAGGAGAUCCUGCUGCGUAGGGGUGGUUGGAAAGUUUCGGCGGUUGUGGAUGGACUCGCGGCUUAUCCGCUUGUUGGGGGGGUAGUGGAUUACCAAGGCUUUGACGGGUAGCCGGCCUGAGAGGGUGACCGGGGACCAUGGGACUGCGAUACGGCCCAGAAGGCUACGUGAGGCAGUAGGGGGGAAUAUUGCACAAUGGGCGGAAGCCUGAUGCAGCAACGCUGCGUGCGGGAUGCCGGCUUUCGGGGUGUAAACCGCUGUCGCCGGUGACGAAGCGUGAGUGACGGUAAUGGGUAAAGAAGCACCGGCUAACUACGUG